UCCCCACUGAACUUCAGUCCCUCUUAUGGAGGAAAACCGCUCCCUCCUAAAUACUGCUUUUGGUGACUGCCCUUUGUUUGAAGUAAUCAUUGUCCCUAGAAAUGGGAAAUUACACAUUACUGUUUACCGAAAGGAAAUAAACACCUUGGAUGACUAGGGUUCUUGCCCCCAGAGAGCGAUCCCCGACCUUGCCUGCAAGCUGGGUGGGAAGCCUGCACACUACAUCCUGCAAACACAUUCACUUUCGGUGUUUGACCAUUUCUGCAGGGGAAAUGGUUGGAUCCUGUGUGUCCCACGAAGCUUGCUUGCCGUAUCCUUGUUACGUCAUCACGGAGGACCUUUGCUAGUCUUUUUCUGGUUGCAGAAGCAAGUACAGGAAAAAACAUGGGGAACGGGGCGUGUCUCCUGCUUACUCUGUUCAGACAUGGACUGGACUCUUGCUCUGUGUUCACGGGUAUCUGAUGAGCUCUCACUAAAUAAGAGUGAAUAGGAAUGCUUUAUUGAGACGGCCUGAGCCACAGGCAGGUUCACGCAGGUAGGAAAAGGUCUUGGAGGUGGCUCUGAGCACUGUGUCUGUCUCAGCCUUUCCGUGUUCUGGCUCCGUGGUCUCCCAAGCCCUCCCCUGCUUUUCACUCUGGCCAUUGUCAACCCCGGCAGCCUCAAGCUGGCCUCUGAGCCACACGCAGCUGUUUCCAGUGCUCUUUAACAUUCCCUGCUGUCUCCAGCCCCCUGACUUUUAAGCAGGUUUCUCUUCCCCAUCGGUUGGAUUUCAGUUUAGGCGGCAUUUCUUCCUGGGAUUCUUCUUCCCUACCCCCCGCCCCCACCCCACACCCCCCACGUGCCUGUGCAUUCGUGCUGGUCUGUAGCUUCCUGUUCUCAGCAUUAUUCAUACUAAAUUACCGGUGACGAGUUGCUUGUCUGUCUGCCUCCCCCGUCAGACUGUCAGCUCUGUGAGGGAGGGAUGCAGCCUGCUUGUUCAGCAUCACAGCUCCGGCACAGUGCCAGGCACACAACACACGGCAGAAACUCAGUAAGCCCUUCUAUCGCUAUUUUGUCACUUCAUACACUUCCCCUUAGCAACAUGAACUCCAGUUGUUCGGCUGCCCACUCUUGUGUAUUUCCCCGAUCUCCACCCUAUCUCCAACCCAUCAGCCUCUACUCGGGUAACAAAAACAAACAAAACAAAACCUAGAAAAUCAACAAAAGAAACACACACCAGAACUGGUUCUCUGCAAGGAUGGGAAGCGUGGAGCCCGUCAGUCAGCAAACUUCAAAAUCCACACCUUGCCUGUGUGCGGGACUGCCUCUUUGGGGUGGGAAAGGACGUAAAAGAAAAGCCUGGAGACCCAGGAGAACACACCACAGCCUUCAGCACUGGGAUGCAAGGACCAGACUAAGCCCGAGGAAACUGGCAACCGAGCAGGGCAGUUUCGAUCUCCAUCCCCAAUGCAGG
Neofelis nebulosa (Clouded leopard) is the source of this 1453-nucleotide long non-coding RNA. RefSeq lists it as uncharacterized. The record is from RefSeq and is a predicted model, not a curated record. NCBI's taxonomy places the organism in Eukaryota, Metazoa, Chordata, Mammalia, Carnivora, Felidae. The transcript is spliced from 3 exons.